CGCGGGAUUGAGUAACGGCAGCUCACGUGGCUCAUAACCACGCAGUCCAGGUUCGAGUCCUGGUCCCGCCACCA
This 74-nucleotide transfer RNA is filed under the name candidate division SR1 bacterium. RNAcentral describes it as "tRNA-Met". It matches the Rfam family "tRNA". Rfam says of the family: Transfer RNA (tRNA) molecules are approximately 80 nucleotides in length. Their secondary structure includes four short double-helical elements and three loops (D, anti-codon, and T loops). Further hydrogen bonds mediate the characteristic L-shaped molecular structure. tRNAs have two regions of fundamental functional importance: the anti-codon, which is responsible for specific mRNA codon recognition, and the 3' end, to which the tRNAs corresponding amino acid is attached (by aminoacyl-tRNA synthetases). tRNAs cope with the degeneracy of the genetic code in two manners: having more than one tRNA (with a specific anti-codon) for a particular amino acid; and 'wobble' base-pairing, i.e. permitting non-standard base-pairing at the 3rd anti-codon position. The record is from RNAcentral. Lineage: Bacteria; Candidatus Absconditibacteriota.